This 1320-nucleotide long non-coding RNA is filed under the name Parus major (Great Tit). Its description in RNAcentral is "lncRNA (ENSPMJG00000001789.1)". Lineage: Eukaryota; Metazoa; Chordata; Aves; Passeriformes; Paridae. The record is from RNAcentral.
AUUGAGGAUACCCCAGAGCCACUCCCCUCCCCAAACUGUGUGUAAUAACAAGUCCUGAUAACUGCUUCACUUAGCAAAACUGCAGCUUGUGUUAGCCUGUGAAUAACAGCCCUUGUCAUUUACUGGCAAUUAAUUAAGUCCUGGAGUCUUGCCGUGUAUCCUGUGUUUACCAGAAUCUCUUACAAAUAUCCCUCACCUACCUUUUGUCAACCCAUGCAUUGUGCUCUGAAAGCCCUGUGUGCACUGAAUAAGUUCUGAGGAGAUUGGCUCACAUUUCAAGGUAAAGAAAUAUGGGCUCUGCUCUUUAGAGUUAAAGCCUCCAGGGAUCUGAAAACUCUUCCCUUGAGUUUACAGAACUUUAUUGUUCUAUAUCCUCAGCAUCCAUCCUGCACAUACAAUAUUCAGAGACCUCCCUGCAAGAAUGCCCAGCUCUGCCAGCAUAUUUGGGCAUUGCCUUUCUCUUGGGAAGCUCUGCUCUGCAUGACAAAAUUAAAUGCACCUGGAAACAUAAAAUGAGAGCCUUGGAAAUGGACAACGUGAGUAACAGGAGUGCCAGAAGAUUGAUGUAGAAUUGAGUUACCAUCACUGAUAUCAAUCAUUUCCCUACCAUGCUUCACAGAACCUAAAACCACAAUGAAGUUAGAGGGGAAUGCACAUUCUCACAGUGCAGAUAUAUUUCACCAGUGCAACUUUAUCAUAUCAAAACUCACGACAAAUUUGCAGGUGUUGACUCCCUGGUCGGGCAUUUCCAGCUCAGCACCUACCUGGGUGUUCUGCAGCAUUAUUCCCUGUAUCAAUCCUUGUCUGAUCAAACUGAUGCCCUUUUGAAAUCGAUGGAGUUAAGUCAUUUCACAUUGCCCAAGGAUCUGUUCUACUGUGGAAAUACUUCCUUUUCUGUCACCUGGUGUUUUCAUCUGGCUUGGAGGUGAGUUUGAAGGCUACAAUAUACUUUUAUCUUUUAAAUCAGCUGCUGAUGCAUUAAAAAAGGGUGAGAUAAUCUCUUCUCUUAUCAUCUUUACAAAAAAGAUCCAGUCUUUUCUUUGAAACUCCCCAAAACUGGGAGUCCACAACUUCUCAGUGCUCCUGGGUACUUUCUGAGAGAUUACUCAAGCCAACUUCAUGUGUUUAGCACAGAGAUGUGGGAAGAUCACACAUCUUUCAUCUGGGCCUGUGAAAUUUUGCACAGAAACUUUAUUUCUGCCUGUGGUCACUGUAUUUCACUAAAAAUUAUUCUCCUUCAGAAAAUGUAGGGGAAAAAACCCCAACAUUCCUUUUUAAGUGUGGAUUCUGGCAUCCUCACCUGAGCCAGCCCAUGCUGUG